This 460-nucleotide ribosomal RNA is filed under the name uncultured bacterium. Its description in RNAcentral is "partial 16S ribosomal RNA". It matches the Rfam family "Bacterial small subunit ribosomal RNA", at positions 338 to 795 of the family's 1533-position model. The record is from RNAcentral.
CCUACGAGGAGCAGCAGUGAGGAAUAUUGGUCAAUGGGAGGAAUCCUGAACCAGCCAUGCCGCGUGCAGGACGACGGCUCUACGAGUUGUAAACUGCUUUUGUACCGGGGUAAAAUGCUCUACGAGUAGGGUUUUGAAAGUACGGUACGAAUAAGGAUCGGCUAACUCCGUGCCAGCAGCCGCGGUAAUAAGGAGGAUACGAGCGUUAUCCGGAUUCGUUGGGUUUAAAGGGUGCGUAGGUUGUUUUAUAAGUUAGCGGUGAAAUACCGAUGCUCAACAUCGGGGCUGCCGCUAAUACUGUAGGACUAGAGAUCGGAUGCAGCAGGCGGAAUGUGGAGUGUAGCGGUGAAAUGCAUAGAUAUUACACAGAACACCGAUUGCGAAGGCAGCUUGCUAGGCCGGAUCUGACACUGAUGCACGAAAGCGUGGGGAUCGAACAGGAUUAGAUACCCGGGUAGUC